This 367-nucleotide unclassified non-coding RNA is filed under the name Hevea brasiliensis (rubber tree). Lineage: Eukaryota; Viridiplantae; Streptophyta; Magnoliopsida; Malpighiales; Euphorbiaceae. The record is from RNAcentral.
UAAAAAACUUCUCCAAAACAAAGGUUAAGGGGCAUAUAAUUGCUAGCAAACCAAAUCAAACUAGCUUAAGCCAUUUUAGUGAUGGAGAAUGGAGAUCCUAGUUUCACGCCAAAUUCAGCAUGGAGACCUGCUUGCAUAGUAUUUUGGUGGACAUCUUUCGUCCUUAUGUAUGCUUCUAGGUGUAUAUGGUUGGUACCCCUUUUGUAUCAAAAUUUAUGUGCAUUACUCUUUUCUUUAGGGUAAAAAAAUAAAGGAAAAAGAAGAAAUCCUAAAUUUUCGAGAGUAGAAUAUGAUAUAGAAUUAAUAUACAGCAUUAUGGUAUUUAUGUUACUUGUGUUUUUUGUAUGUGGUUGGAUGCCUCUUUUUG